This 524-nucleotide ribosomal RNA is filed under the name Escherichia coli. RNAcentral's name for it is "partial 23S ribosomal RNA". It matches the Rfam family "Bacterial large subunit ribosomal RNA", at positions 116 to 684 of the family's 2925-position model. The record is from RNAcentral. Lineage: Bacteria; Pseudomonadati; Pseudomonadota; Gammaproteobacteria; Enterobacterales; Enterobacteriaceae.
GAAUGGGGAAACCCAGUGUGUUUCGACACACUAUCAUUAACUGAAUCCAUAGGUUAAUGAGGCGAACCGGGGGAACUGAAACAUCUAAGUACCCCGAGGAAAAGAAAUCAACCGAGAUUCCCCCAGUAGCGGCGAGCGAACGGGGAGGAGCCCAGAGCCUGAAUCAGUGUGUGUGUUAGUGGAAGCGUCUGGAAAGGCGCGCGAUACAGGGUGACAGCCCCGUACACAAAAAUGCACAUAUUGUGAGCUCGAUGAGUAGGGCGGGACACGUGGUAUCCUGUCUGAAUAUGGGGGGACCAUCCUCCAAGGCUAAAUACUCCUGACUGACCGAUAGUGAACCAGUACCGUGAGGGAAAGGCGAAAAGAACCCCGGCGAGGGGAGUGAAAAAGAACCUGAAACCGUGUACGUACAAGCAGUGGGAGCCUCUUAAUGGGGUGACUGCGUACCUUUUGUAUAAUGGGUCAGCGACUUAUAUUCUGUAGCAAGGUUAACCGAAUAGGGGAGCCGAAGGGAAACCGAGUCU